Molecule: long non-coding RNA, 960 nt
Filed under: Mytilus galloprovincialis (Mediterranean mussel)
Lineage: Eukaryota; Metazoa; Mollusca; Bivalvia; Mytilida; Mytilidae
Source: RNAcentral
UAUGAGUAAUUUGAAAAAAAAAUGGACAAAUUUAUAGAACAUUUAUAUAAAACAGAAAUGACAAUUAAUUGAUAAAAAAAACAGCUUGUGUUUAUCUUUUAAAACAAAAAAGUUAUGUAUUUCUAUCUAAAGGAAAAAUAUGUCAACAAAUCUGAAUUUUGAGGAUAUAUUCAACUUCAUUUUACUCAAAAAGUAGCACAUGAAUGUAUAUUUUUUAUUACAUAUUUGAUUUAAUCAGGUAAAAAAUGGCUUAUAUGGAAAUUUUCAACAAAAUUUCAAUACAGGAUUAUGACCUUAAUAGUUGGGUUUUGUUUCACUGCAUUUCAUGAAUAUAACUCAAUUCAUUAAAUCAUUACAUUGUCGCAAUAUAUUGUUGUAUAAUAAUAAUAGUCUUGUAUGAUUUUUAAUUUUAGUUUCUUGUGUAUAAUUCGGAGUUUAGUAUGACGUCCAUUAUCACUGAAAUAGUAUACAUAUUUUAAAGGGGCCAGCUGAAGGACGCCUCCGGGUGCGGGAGUUUCUCGCUACAUUGGAGACCCAUUGGUGGACUUCGGCUGUUGUCUGCUCUAUGGUCGGGUUGUUGUCGCUUUGACACAUUCCCCAUUUUCUUUCUCAAUUUUAUUGUAGUAGAUUUAUGAAUUAUCAUGUCAGAACGCCCAAUCAAAUGAUUCAUUUCAAAGUUAUUCAAGAGUGUUCUAAUUUGCUAUGAGCUUAGUUAUUACAAUUUUAUAUUUUUUUGUUGGAAUAUUUUAAAAACAAAAAUAUUAGGGUAUAUUUUUAAAUGCUGGUUGAUUGGCAUUUAUUGGUUAUGCUCCACCAUUGUUAAUACAGUUUUGUUAGCUAUUUGACGCAUGUAUAAUAUUGUCAAUUUUACAAUUUAUUUUAGAGUUUAAUAAAGAGAAAGGAUUGAGAUUUUAUCUGUGUAUCCAUGAUUUUUUAAUUGAAUAAAAAAAAAUAAACAGU